UUUGUUACAAAAUAGAACAGUAUCAUUCAGUUGGAAGGGACUUUGAAAGAUAAUGUACUCUAACUAUUUUCUCAGGAAAUCUUAAAUAAUCAAGACCCACAAACUUCAUACACAAACCUCUGUCUCAUUAGCCUCAGGUCCUAUAAAUAACUGUCAGAUGUUGAAACAUUCACACAAAAGAGGCCACACAGUUGUUGCAGAUGAGUAUCAGCAAUCAGGGAAAGAAGAGUUCUCCAUAAGGCUUCCCCAUACUUCUCUCUGUCUAGAUGAAAGAAUGACAUUGACACUAAUGUCGAGCACUACCUGUUGCAGAAGUAUGAUAACUUCAAGCUUAUCCACAGUGCCUCGCAGAUAUCAAUUCUGA
This 364-nucleotide long non-coding RNA is filed under the name Anas platyrhynchos platyrhynchos (common mallard). RNAcentral's name for it is "lncRNA (ENSAPLG00000019049.1)". The record is from RNAcentral. Lineage: Eukaryota; Metazoa; Chordata; Aves; Anseriformes; Anatidae.